CAGUAAAAUAAGAGAGCCUCUGCCAGGAAAGUGGUGCUUCCCUGACAUGCUUGGGGGGAGCCACGUUUCUGCAAAGUUGAAAAUGGGAAAGAAACGAAUUGACCUCAGGUGGAAGAAGGCUGUGGCAGAUGAUGACCUUUCUGCCCUGCACCAUGGAGACUCAUAGACUUCUGGAGUGCUGGGCCCCACAUGCCAGUAUUGCCUUCAAAAGGCCCGGCCUGAAGAAAGGAGUAAAGAAGACAUAUAUUGAUAGAACACAUCUCAUUUUAAAGCCCAUCUACCUCCAGAGUCUUCUAAUUCCUGAUGGAUUAUCUCCUCUUAUAUCACUGAAAUUUUUGCGUGAGUCCAAAGGAAUGA
Long non-coding RNA from Talpa occidentalis (Iberian mole), 357 nucleotides. RefSeq lists it as uncharacterized. The transcript has 3 exons. The record is from RefSeq and is a predicted model, not a curated record. Lineage: Eukaryota; Metazoa; Chordata; Mammalia; Eulipotyphla; Talpidae.